CGGGUGAGUAACGCGUGGGUAACCUGCCCUGUACAGGGGGAUAACAGUCAGAAAUGACUGCUAAUACCGCAUAAGACCACAGCACCGCAUGGUGCAGGGGUAAAAACUCCGGUGGUACAGGAUGGACCCGCGUCUGAUUAGCUGGUUGGUGAGGUAACGGCUCACCAAGGCGACGAUCAGUAGCCGGCUUGAGAGAGUGAACGGCCACAUUGGGACUGAGACACGGCCCAA
Molecule: ribosomal RNA, 231 nt
Filed under: uncultured bacterium
Lineage: Bacteria
Description: partial 16S ribosomal RNA
Rfam family: Bacterial small subunit ribosomal RNA
Source: RNAcentral